Molecule: ribosomal RNA, 420 nt
Filed under: uncultured bacterium
Lineage: Bacteria
Description: bacterial SSU rRNA
Rfam family: Bacterial small subunit ribosomal RNA
Source: RNAcentral
UAAGGAAUAUUGCUCAAUGGGAGAAAUCCUGAAGCAGCAACGCCGCGUGGAGGAUGAAGGGUCUAUGACUUGUAAACUCCUGUAAAGAAGGAAAAAAUUCCCAUUUGAUGGGAGAUGAUGGUACUUCUGGAGUAAGCCCCGGCUAACUACGUGCCAGCAGCCGCGGUAAUACGUAGGGGGCAAGCGUUGUCCGGAUUUACUGGGUGUAAAGGGUGCUCAGGCGGAUUUGUAAGUCAGAGGUGAAAUCUUACAGCUUAACUGUGAAACUGCCUUUGAUACUGCAAGCCUAGAGUAUGGAAGAGAGUGAUGGAAUAUCUGGUGUAGCAGUGAAAUGCGUAGAUAUCAGAUAGUACACCAAUGGCGAAGGCAGUCACUUGGUCCAUUACUGACGCUAAAGCACGAAAGCGUGGGUAGCAAACA